UCGGGAAUUUUGGGCAAUGGGGGAAACCCUGACCCAGCAACGCCGCGUGAAGGAUGAAGUAUUUCGGUAUGUAAACUUCGAAAGAAUAGGAAGAAUAAAUGACGGUACUAUUUAUAAGGUCCGACUAACUACGUGCCAGCAGCCGCGGUAAUACGUAGGGACCAAGCGUUGUUCGGAUUUACUGGGCGUAAAGGGCGCGUAGGCGGCAUGACAAGUCACUUGUGAAAUCUCUGGGCUUAACCCAGAACGGCCAAGUGAUACUGUCGCGCUAGAGUGCAGAAGGGGCAAUCGGAAUUCUUGGUGUAGCGGUGAAAUGCGUAGAUAUCAAGAGGAACACCUGAGGUGAAGACGGGUUGCUGGGCUGACACUGACGCUGAGGCGCGAAAGCCAGGGGAGCAAACGGGAUUAGAUACCCAAGUAGUCCCUGAGCGGGCUGGCAAGGCGCAU
This 447-nucleotide ribosomal RNA is filed under the name uncultured bacterium. RNAcentral describes it as "bacterial SSU rRNA". It matches the Rfam family "Bacterial small subunit ribosomal RNA", at positions 355 to 825 of the family's 1533-position model. The record is from RNAcentral.